AUUCCUGCCGCUGGCCGGCUCCUGGCCAGGCUGGGGCUGUUCUCACCAGAAAACAAAAAUGUCUUUCAGACCAAAGCAAAACGAGGCCCCAGCUGGCCCAGGCAGGCCAUUGGGCGUUGUUCACACUGACCCACUAUGAACACCAAUCACUGGGGCUCUCACUUUGCACCCACUGGAAGGAACCCAUCAUCUUUGGAGACGGAACUGGAGGCCUCGGUGGCUGCUGAGGAAAGCACUACGCCCCAAGAUUCACAUGAAUUAGGAGCUACACAAAGGAAGUAGGCCCAGGAAUAACCACACCUACCACGGAUCUCCCGAGGCAGCCGAGCAAAUGAUGAGGAACCACCCCUGGGCAUCCUGAAGGACAACCCCAAGGGCUCAAAGCAGCAUCUCAUCCACAGCACUCCCCUAACCCCACCAAUCUGUGGACCCAGUGGAUGGUUAGUGGGAACUCUGGCGAGGCCAACGCAAGGAAUGGGAGCAUCACACCAGACCAUCCAGUGAGGUGAGGACCUUGACUGGGAAUUCCUCUCAUCUAUGCUUGGCAGAGUGGCCCAAGCUCCCAAUCUGUCAGGUGACUGGAACCUUGGAGCUCUAAGGAAGCAGCAGCCCUCAGAGAAGACUCUCUUCCACAAAACUGGUCACCCAGAAGCUGUGGGUUCACUAGUUGAUUCAUUCAUUCAUUCAACAAACACUUCUGGAGCACCUCCUUCUAUUCCAGGCUGCACUGGUUCUCAGCACACAGGGUUCUCCAGUGAAGGGUAACCUGGCCCUGCCUGCAAGGAGUUUACACCUGCUUUUCCCUACUGCUUCUAACAUAUUGGCAUCAUCCCCCACCUGGGCACAGAGCCUAGCAUCCUAGCAGGAGCACACUCAAAAUCUGUUGUUUACUGAUUGACUUGUGGUAAGGAAACAGCUUAUAAAACACAUUAUUAAAAUAAAUUACGCUCAGGGAA
This 956-nucleotide long non-coding RNA is filed under the name Homo sapiens (human). Its description in RNAcentral is "ACSL6 antisense RNA 1 (ACSL6-AS1)". The record is from RNAcentral. Lineage: Eukaryota; Metazoa; Chordata; Mammalia; Primates; Hominidae.